CAACCCUCAGGGCCCGUCCGCGGGACCUGGUGCUGGGGAUCGGCCUUUACCGGCCGGCCCCGAAAUACAGUGGCGGCACACCCGCGAUCUCCUCUGCGUAGUAGCAAUGCCUCGCAGCUGGAUAGCGGUUGCGCCUCGCCGUAAAACCCCCCAAAUAUAUCAAU
RNAcentral lists this unclassified non-coding RNA (164 nucleotides) under Acremonium alternatum. RNAcentral's name for it is "partial internal transcribed spacer 2". The record is from RNAcentral. Lineage: Eukaryota; Fungi; Ascomycota; Sordariomycetes; Hypocreales; Bionectriaceae.